UACGUAGGGGGCAAGCGUUAUCCGGAUUUACUGGGUGUAAAGGGAGCGUAGGCGGCCUGGCAAGCCUGAUGUGAAAUACCGGGGCCCAACCCCGGGGCUGCAUUGGGAACUGCCAGGCUGGAGUGCCGGAGAGGCAGGCGGAAUUCCUAGUGUAGCGGUGAAAUGCGUAGAUAUUAGGAGGAACACCAGUGGCGAAGGCAGCGUACCGGCGCCAGACUGACGCUGAGGCACGAAAGCGUGGGGAUCGAACAGG
Molecule: ribosomal RNA, 253 nt
Filed under: uncultured Eubacteriales bacterium
Lineage: Bacteria; Bacillati; Bacillota; Clostridia; Eubacteriales
Description: uncultured Clostridiales bacterium partial 16S ribosomal RNA
Rfam family: Bacterial small subunit ribosomal RNA
Source: RNAcentral